GCAUCAGAUAAUCAUAAAA
This 19-nucleotide small nuclear RNA is filed under the name Arabidopsis thaliana (thale cress). RNAcentral's name for it is "snRNA_16352". The record is from RNAcentral. Lineage: Eukaryota; Viridiplantae; Streptophyta; Magnoliopsida; Brassicales; Brassicaceae.